Molecule: long non-coding RNA, 950 nt
Filed under: Vigna radiata
Lineage: Eukaryota; Viridiplantae; Streptophyta; Magnoliopsida; Fabales; Fabaceae
Description: long non-coding RNA (VRAD_LNC018555)
Source: RNAcentral
UUUUACUUUUGCAUUUUUAAUUUUUAGAAUAGGUUGAAUUUUUUUUUUCAGUGUGUAUGCUUGGCCUAAAUACUUUUCUGAAGAUGUUUGACUGACUAAUUUGCAUGAUGAGCUUAUUUGAUGAUGAUCUGAUGUGAUUGAUAAUUGGGGUGUGUUGCAUGUUGAUAUUCAGUGAAACAGGUGUAUAGUAAAUUAUGAUUGUGAUUAUGAUGCUAAGCAGGGUGUAUGUAUGAAUUUUGUGUGAGAAAGCAUGUUGUGUGAGGUAUUGAGCUCCAGAGUUUUCAUUGUUGUAUGUAUUAUUCACAGGAAAGCAUGGAUGAUAUUGCCUUAAUCUCAAUGAUUGAUUGAAUUGCAUGUGAAUGUCAUAUGAUCAAGGCCAUUUUUGAAAACCCUUCUCUAGCCAAAUUUUCACUUGCAGAGCUUAAAAUAUUAUACCCUUUUUGAACCUUAGCCUUAAAUAGGAGGUGAACCCUUGUCUUGAAAUUCUUUACCUUGAGUUAGGAUAAGCUUAACUGUAUGUGAUGAAAAGGUUCAAGUUUGGGGUUACAUGGGGGAAAUUGAAAUGUUGUUAAGAAGCAUUGAGCUCAAAUGUUGAAAAAGAAAAAUACAUGAGAAAAAGAAAAAAUAAGAAAAAACAUGAAGAUGAGCUCAAUGAAAAGAAAAAGGGAAAAAGUUGGGAAUGAGAGAGAUUGGGAGGAAGAGAGUUGUGCUUAAAUGUUGAAUAUUAUGAUAGCUCUCUUAACUCAAGGAUUUUGUUUUCCAGAAAAAACAAUUUUUCUUGUUAACCUAACCUCAUUACAAGCCUUGGAAAAGUCCUUUUGAUGACAUUUGCAUGUAAAGAUGUUGAUUGUUUGAGAUGAAUGGCAAUGUUAUUUCUUAUGACUUGUGAAUGAUAGAGAGUUGGAGUGUCACCCUAAACAAUUGAGUGAUUGAGUGAAACACUUGCUUGC